UACCAUGAGAGCUGGCCUGGCCUGGUC
Molecule: non-coding RNA, 27 nt
Filed under: Homo sapiens (human)
Lineage: Eukaryota; Metazoa; Chordata; Mammalia; Primates; Hominidae
Source: RNAcentral